RNAcentral lists this transfer RNA (84 nucleotides) under Postia placenta Mad-698-R. It matches the Rfam family "tRNA". From Rfam's summary of the family: Transfer RNA (tRNA) molecules are approximately 80 nucleotides in length. Their secondary structure includes four short double-helical elements and three loops (D, anti-codon, and T loops). The record is from Rfam by way of RNAcentral. Lineage: Eukaryota; Fungi; Basidiomycota; Agaricomycetes; Polyporales; Adustoporiaceae.
CCUUCGAUAGCUCAGUUGGAAGAGCGCGAGACUGUAAUUGGAUAUGUCAUCUUGAGGUCGCUGGUUCAAUCCCGGCUCGAAGGA